This 67-nucleotide transfer RNA is filed under the name Dexia tenuiforceps. Its description in RNAcentral is "tRNA-Ile". Lineage: Eukaryota; Metazoa; Arthropoda; Insecta; Diptera; Tachinidae. The record is from RNAcentral.
AAUGAAUUGCCUGAAAAAAGGAUUACCUUGAUAGGGUAAAUUAUGUGUGAUUAUUACACAUUCAUUA